This 253-nucleotide ribosomal RNA is filed under the name uncultured bacterium. Its description in RNAcentral is "partial 16S ribosomal RNA". It matches the Rfam family "Bacterial small subunit ribosomal RNA", at positions 524 to 776 of the family's 1533-position model. The record is from RNAcentral.
UACGUAGGGGGCAAGCGUUAUCCGGAUUUACUGGGUGUAAAGGGGGCGCAGACGGCGAUGCAAGCCAGGAGUGAAAGCCCGGGGCCCAACCCCGGGACUGCUCUUGGAACUGCGUGGCUGGAGUGCAGGAGGGGCAGGCGGAAUUCCUGGUGUAGCGGUGAAAUGCGUAGAUAUCAGGAGGAACACCGGUGGCGAAGGCGGCCUGCUGGACUGCGACUGACGUUGAGGCCCGAAAGCGUGGGGAGCAAACAGG